UUACAUAGCUAUUACAUAGCUAGCUCUCUGUAACUUUGACAUUGUCGCCCACUAAAGCUUUGCAAUGCUGUGUGUGGUAAGCACCUGGAUGGGAGACCACAUGGGAACGCUAGGUUGCUAGGAAGU
This 126-nucleotide ribosomal RNA is filed under the name Danio rerio (zebrafish). Lineage: Eukaryota; Metazoa; Chordata; Actinopteri; Cypriniformes; Danionidae. The record is from RNAcentral.